UACGUAGGGUGCAAGCGUUUGUCCGGAAUUAUUGGGCGUAAAAGAGCUUGUAGGCGGUUUGUCGCGUCUGCUGUGAAAUUUCGGGGCUCAACCCCGAACUUGCAGUGGGUACGGGCAGACUAGAGUGUGGUAGGGGAGACUGGAAUUCCUGGUGUAGCGGUGAAAUGCGCAGAUAUCAGGAGGAACACCGAUGGCGAAGGCAGGUCUCUGGGCUGUAACUGACACUGAGAGAGAAAGCUGGG
This 242-nucleotide ribosomal RNA is filed under the name uncultured bacterium. Its description in RNAcentral is "partial 16S ribosomal RNA". It matches the Rfam family "Bacterial small subunit ribosomal RNA", at positions 524 to 764 of the family's 1533-position model. The record is from RNAcentral.